GACGAACGCUGGCGGCGUGCUUAACACAUGCAAGUUGAGCGGUAAGGCCCUUUCGGGGGUACACGAGCGGCGAACGGGUGAGUAACACGUGGGUGACCUGCCCUCAGCUCUGGGAUAAGCCUGGGAAACCGGGUCUAAUACUGGAUAUGACUCCAUGACGCAUGUUGUGGGGUGGAAAGCCUUGUGCGGCUGAGGAUGGGCCCGCGGCCUAUCAGCUUGUUGGUGGGGUGAGGCCUACCAAGGCGACGACGGGUAGCCGGCCUGAGAGGGCGACCGGCCACACUGGGACUGAGACACGGCCCAGACUCCUACGGGAGGCAGCAGUGGGGAAUCUUGCGCAAUGGGCGAAAGCCUGACGCAGCGACGCCGCGUGAGGGAUGACGGCCUGGUUGUAACU
This 397-nucleotide ribosomal RNA is filed under the name uncultured bacterium. RNAcentral describes it as "bacterial SSU rRNA". It matches the Rfam family "Bacterial small subunit ribosomal RNA", at positions 28 to 430 of the family's 1533-position model. The record is from RNAcentral.